RNAcentral lists this transfer RNA (85 nucleotides) under Sphingopyxis sp. RNAcentral's name for it is "tRNA-Leu". It matches the Rfam family "tRNA". From Rfam's summary of the family: Transfer RNA (tRNA) molecules are approximately 80 nucleotides in length. Their secondary structure includes four short double-helical elements and three loops (D, anti-codon, and T loops). The record is from RNAcentral. Lineage: Bacteria; Pseudomonadati; Pseudomonadota; Alphaproteobacteria; Sphingomonadales; Sphingopyxidaceae. RNAcentral also lists the same sequence under 2 other names.
GCGGUCGUGGCGGAAUUGGUAGACGCGCUGCCUUGAGGUGGCAGUUCUUAACCGAGUGGAGGUUCGAGUCCUCUCGACCGCACCA